RNAcentral lists this ribosomal RNA (461 nucleotides) under uncultured bacterium. RNAcentral describes it as "bacterial SSU rRNA". It matches the Rfam family "Bacterial small subunit ribosomal RNA", at positions 28 to 526 of the family's 1533-position model. The record is from RNAcentral.
GAUGAACGCUGGCGGUAUGCUUAACACAUGCAAGUCGAACGGGAUGUCUUCGGACAUUUAGUGGCGGACGGGUGAGUAACGCGUAAGAAACUGCCUUCAGGACGGGGACAACAAUUGGAAACGAUUGCUAAGACCCGAUAUGCCUACGGGGGAAAGUAUUAAUUUAGCCUGAAGAUGUGCCCGCGUCUGAUUAGCUAGUUGGUGGAGUAAAGGUUCACCAAGGCGACGAUCAGUAGCUGGUCUGAGAGGAUGAUCAGCCACACUGGGACUGAGACACGGCCCAGGCUCCUACGGGAGGCAGCAGUGGGGAUUUUUCCGCAAUGGGCGCAAGCCUGACGGAGCAAUACCGCGUGAGGGAGGAAGGCUCUUGGGUCGUAAACCUCUUUUCUCUGGGAAGAAAAAACUGACGGUACCAGAGGAAUCAGCAUCGGCUAACUCCGUGCCAGCAGCCGCAGUAAAAC